GGUCAAGCUACUAAGAGCGUAGAGUGGAUGCCUUGGCACCGAGAGCCGAUGAAGGACGUGAUAAGCUGCGAAAAGCUACGGGGAGUUGCAAAUAAACUUUGAUCCGUAGAUAUCCGAAUGGGGAAACCUGGCAGAGCAAACCUCUGUCACCGUAUAGCCAAUACAUAACUAUACGGAGGGAACGAAGGGAACUGAAACAUCUAAGUACCUUCAGGAGGAGAAAGAAACAUCGAUUUCCUAAGUAGCGGCGAGCGAAAGGGAAACAGGCCAAACCAGAUUACUUGUAAUCUGGGGUUGAGGACUGCGACAUGGCAAGAAUGCGGAUAGCUGAAGAGUCUGGAAAGUCUCAUCAAAGAGGGUGAUAAUCCCGUAAGCGAAAUCCAAGUGAAGCCUAGCAGUAUCCAGAGUACCACGAGACACGAGAAACCUUGUGGGAAGCUGGGGGGACCACCCCCCAAGCCUAAAUACUCCUCGGUGACCGAUAGCGCAUAGUACUGUGAAGGAAAGGUGAAAAGAACCCCGGGAGGGGAGUGAAAGAGAACCUGAAACUCUAUGUUUACAAGCAGUGGAAGCACCAUAUGAUGUGCAACCGCGUACUUUUUGUAGAACGGUCCGGCGAGUUACUAGCUGUGGCAAGGUUAAGUACCAGGAGGUACGAAGCCGAAGGGAAACCAAGUCUGAAUAGGGCGCCAAAAUAGUCAUUGUUAGUAGACCCCAAAACCGGGUGACCUACCCAUGUGCAGGAUGAAGUUACCGUAAAAGGUAAUGGAGGUCCGAACUCACAUCUGUUGAAAAAGGUGGAGAUGACGUGUGGGUAGCGGAGAAAUUCCAAUCGAACCCGGAGAUAGCUGGUUCUCCUCGAAAUAGCUUUAGGGCUAGCGUUGAUAGGAGUCUAAUGGAGGUAAAGCACUGAAUUGCCUAGGGGGCCUACAAGCUUACCGAAGCAUAUCAAACUAAGAAUGCCAUCAAGAUACCGUCAGCAGUCAGACUACGAGUGAUAAGACACGUGGUCAAAAGGAAAACAGUCCAGACCAUCAGCUAAGGUCCCCAAGUGUGUGUUAAGUGGAAAAGGAUGUGAGAUUUCGAAGACAACUAGGAUGUUGGCUUAGAAGCAGCCACUCAUUCAAAGAGUGCGUAAUAGCUCACUAGUCGAGAGAUCUUGCGCCGAAAAUGUCCGGGGCUAAAACACACCACCGAAGCUAUGGAAUUCAACUUAGUUGGAUUGGUAGAGGAGCGUUGUAACGACGCAGAAGCAGUACCGUAAGGAGCCGUGGAGUAAUUACAAGUGAGAAUGCCGGAAUGAGUAGCGAGAUACAAGUGAGAAUCUUGUAGGCCGAAUAUCCAAGGUUUCCAGAGUAAAGCUGAUCUGCUCUGGGUAAGUCGGGACCUAAGGCGAGGACGGAAGUCGUAGUCGAUGGACAACUGGUUCAUAUUCCAGUACUACCUAUUAUCAGAACUGCAGGGACGCAGGAGGGUAGGCAAACCCAGGAAUGGUAUCCUGGGCCAAGCACAAAGUCGCAUUCCCAAGGAAAACCCGGGGAACGAGGAUGAAGUGUGAUGGGGAUCGAAAUUAAAGUAGAGAAGUUGCUGAACCCACACUGCCGAGAAAAGCUGCUAUUGCGUGAUAGGUACCCGUACCGUAAACCGACACAGGUGGAUGAGGAGAGAAUCCUAAGGCCGACGGGAGAAGCGUUGUUAAGGAACUCGGCAAAAUGACUCCGUAACUUAGGGAGAAGGGGUGCCUACUUAGGUAGGCCGCAGAGAAUAGGCCCAAGCAACUGUUUAACAAAAACACAGGUCUUUGCUAAACCGAAAGGUGAUGUAUAAGGGCUGACGCCUGCCCGGUGCUGGAAGGCUAAGGGGAGAGGUUAGUCGUAAGGCGAAGCUUUGAACUUAAGCCCCAGUAAACGGCGGCCGUAACUAUAACGGUCCUAAGGUAGCGAAAUUCCUUGUCAGGUAAGUUCUGACCCGCACGAAAGGCGUAAUGAUUUGGGCACUGUCUCGACAGCGCACCCGGUGAAAUUGUAGUACCAGUGAAGAUGCUGGUUACCCGCGACAGGACGGAAAGCCCCCGGGGGAGUUUUACUGUAGCUUGAUACUGAGGUUGGGUAUUACAUGUACAGGAUAGGAGGGAGACUGAGAAAAUCUGGACGCCAGUCUAGGUGGAGUCGCCGGUGGGAUACCUCUCUUGUAAUACUUAACUUCUAACCAUGGCCCGUUACCCGGGUCUGGGACAAUGUCAGGUGGACAGUUUGACUGGGGCGGUCGCCUCCUAAAGAGUAACGGAGGCGCUCAAAGGUAACCUCAGAAUGGUCGGAAACCAUUCGAAGAGUGCAAAAGGCAUAAGGUUGCUUGACUGUGACACCGACGGGUGGAGCAGGUACGAAAGUAGGACUUAGUGAUCCGGUGGUAUGAAAGUGGGAUUGCCAUCGCUCAACGGAUAAAAGCUACCCCGGGGAUAACAGGCUUAUCUCCCCCAAGAGUUCACAUCGACGGGGAGGUUUGGCACCUCGAUGUCGGCUCAUCGCAUCCUGGAGCUGAAGCAGGUUCCAAGGGUUGGGCUGUUCGCCCAUUAAAAGCGGUACGCGAGCUGGGUUCAGAACGUCGUGAGACAGUUCGGUCCCUAUCCGUCGUGGGCGCAGGAAAUUUGAGUGGAGCUGUCCUUAGUACGAGAGGACCGGGAUGGACGGACCACUGGUGCAUCUGUUGUCUUACCAAAGGCAUAGCAGAGUAGCCAAGUCUGGAUCUGAUAAAACGCUGAAGGCAUCUAAAGCGUGAAGCAGACCACAAGAUAAGAUUUCCCAUCCGAAAGGAGUAAGACCCCUUAGAGACUAUGAGGUAGAUAGGUUGGAGCUGUAAGCAUGGUAACAUGUGUAGGUGACCAAUACUAACGGUUCGAGGGUUUGACCUA
The sequence is a ribosomal RNA, 2911 nucleotides long. It matches the Rfam family "Bacterial large subunit ribosomal RNA". The record is from Rfam.